GGUGGUGGUGCUGUGUGUGCUGCCGUGGAUAUCGGAGCUGAACGUGCAGCACUUUGGCACCGACGGUAUGGCCACUUGGGAUACAGCAACCUUGAGGCGUUGCUGCGUCACAACAUGGUAACUGGGUUCGAUGUUGACCGACACAGCAUACAAUCAGCCAGCGCGUGUGUGUGUGAGACUUGCGUCCUUGCAAAGCAUACACGUGGUCCUUUUCCGUUAACUGGGCAUAAGGCAGCGCAGCCUCUCGC
RNAcentral lists this long non-coding RNA (248 nucleotides) under Volvox carteri. RNAcentral's name for it is "long non-coding RNA (VCAR_LNC001879)". The record is from RNAcentral. Lineage: Eukaryota; Viridiplantae; Chlorophyta; Chlorophyceae; Chlamydomonadales; Volvocaceae.